AUUCCAUGAUGUGGACACUCUUGAAUGUACUCCUGCAGACGUUCCCAUGCUUCGGGAAUAGUCUCGUCUGCCUUCUGUUGGAAGCUUGAAAUCUUUGCCCUCAGAGC
This is a small nucleolar RNA of Sorghum bicolor (sorghum), 107 nucleotides long. It matches the Rfam family "Plant small nucleolar RNA R71". From Rfam's summary of the family: R71 is a member of the C/D box family of snoRNAs containing the C (UGAUGA) and D (CUGA) box motifs. Multiple nearly identical copies of this snoRNA have been identified in Arabidopsis, and it is thought to function as a 2'-O-ribose methylation guide for 18S ribosomal RNA. NCBI's taxonomy places the organism in Eukaryota, Viridiplantae, Streptophyta, Magnoliopsida, Poales, Poaceae. The record is from Rfam.